AGAGAGAGAGAGAGAGAGGGAGAACAAGAAAUGCAUAUCACUGUAAAAAUUGUCGACAUCAGCAAAGAAUUCUUUCUCCCCAUUUCCCCAUAUGUGUCUUGGGUAAAAUAACCUGUAACUUCGCUACAUCAUCAACCAUUAAAUGCAUAUGAAAUUUACACAAAUAUUGCAUAUGCAUUAUUUGUAAUUACAAAAAUUCCCAAUGUAAAAAAACUGUAGUUGUUCUAAAAGCUCAUAUACACACUGGCAAAGUCUAGCGAUGACAAAAACUUCCAGCACGUACUUUAUUACUCCGUCCAUAAAUAAUAGCCACAUUUGGCUUUUUAUUUUGUCUAAAAUUAUUUGCCACAUUUAGAA
Molecule: unclassified non-coding RNA, 357 nt
Filed under: Hevea brasiliensis (rubber tree)
Lineage: Eukaryota; Viridiplantae; Streptophyta; Magnoliopsida; Malpighiales; Euphorbiaceae
Source: RNAcentral